GACGUAGGGCGCGAGCGUUGUCCGGAUUUAUUGGGCGUAAAGAGCUCGUAGGCGGCUUGUCGCGUCGGCUGUGAAAACCCGCGGCUCAACUGUGGGCGGGCAGCUGAUACGGGCAGGCUGGAGUUCGGUAGGGGAGACUGGAAUUCCUGGUGUAGCGGUGAAAUGCGCAGAUAUCAGGAGGAACACCGGUGGCGAAGGCGGGUCUCUGGGCCGAUACCGACGCUGAGGAGCGAAAGCGUGGGGAGCGAACAGG
This 253-nucleotide ribosomal RNA is filed under the name uncultured bacterium. RNAcentral describes it as "partial 16S ribosomal RNA". It matches the Rfam family "Bacterial small subunit ribosomal RNA", at positions 524 to 776 of the family's 1533-position model. The record is from RNAcentral.